RNAcentral lists this ribosomal RNA (253 nucleotides) under uncultured bacterium. RNAcentral describes it as "partial 16S ribosomal RNA". It matches the Rfam family "Bacterial small subunit ribosomal RNA", at positions 524 to 776 of the family's 1533-position model. The record is from RNAcentral.
UACAGAGGUGGCAAGCGUUGUCCGGAAUUAUUGGGCGUAAAGCGCGCGCAGGCGGUCCUUUAAGUCUGAUGUGAAAGCCCACGGCUCAACCGUGGAGGGUCAUUGGAAACUGGGGGACUUGAGUACAGAAGAGAAGAGUGGAAUUCCACGUGUAGCGGUGAAAUGCGUAGAGAUGUGGAGGAACACCAGUGGCGAAGGCGACUCUUUGGUCUGUAACUGACGCUGAGGCGCGAAAGCGUGGGGAGCAAACAGG